GCUUUUUAAAAUUUUUCCAUCGUCUUAGUCUCUCCCAUCUUUUUUUUCAUCUAAGCGAGGUUGGUAGGUUCGACCAUAAGCGAAGGGCCGUGACGUGGUGAUGACAAGAAGAACACUGUGGAUCUCCGUAAAGAAAGCAAGGCCGGAUUACUAGUGAGAGUGGAGAUCUUAGAUCUUCAUGACUGCGAGAUCUGCCCAUGCCCAUGCGAUGCGAAGAAGCAGCAGUAAGCGGAUCCAAAUUUCUUGGUCUGAAAGUGUCCGCGACACCACGCUUCAUCCUCUCCUUCCCACUUUCUUCUUGAUUUAUGGCGGUUUCUUCCUUCAUGGCACCUAAAAGGGAAAAGCCCUCUGCGUCGUCGAUUACCCGGAAAGAAAUGUCACCUUUGAAUGCUUCUGUUGCAGCAAGCGAUGAGAAGAUGGAGUGGAGUCAUUUCAUCGGUGUGGGCGGCAAAGGCCUGUCCGCUAUCUCGAUUCUCACUCCCGGGCAAGAUACGCUUCCUCCCUGCUCUUGUUUGCUCUAAUUCUUAGGUUGUUGAUACAUCCAUGUCUCUCUCUCUCUCUCUUUAAGGGCGUCCCUUAACUUCCUCCUUUGGCCGGCAGCCAUCGCCGGUGUGUGAUGGGUGUUGGCAGUCCUCUCCGCCCUUCAGUUGUGUUCAUGUGUGGUUUCCUAUUGGGGUUCCUCUAUAGUCGGUCAGGUUUAUCAUUGCAGGCUGGGGUCUUUCAUUUCGGCUCUGUGCUAGGAGUUUUGUUUGGGUUUCUUCCGUUGAAGUUGUUGCUGGUUUCUGACAUUUGGUUGGGUUUCUUCCGUUGAAGUUGUUGCUGGUUUCUGACAUUUGGUUCGCCAUUGGGUCGGAUGCUUUGGUCACCACUUGGAUCGCCGCUUUCUAGUACGCCGCUUGGGUCCCUGCUGGUUCUGUUGUGGGUCGCCGCUUAGGUCGUUGUUGUCGGUCUGACCGCCUUGUGUCAUCCCUUAGGUUGCUGUUGGGUCUGCCGCUUGCGUCACUCUUGACGUCUACCUUUUGGUUCACCGCUGUCGGUUGGGCAUGCCGUUUAGUUGAUGUUGCUACUGAGUCGCCACUACCGCUUCUGUUUGCUGCUAGGUCGCAUUUAUCGUCUUUGGGUUUGUUGCUGGGUCAUUACUGUGACUAUUGUUGUGCAUUCAUCGCAUUAUGCAGCUGUUCAAAUUCCAACCAGCCAUCCGGGGAGAUUGGGCGUUUUUGUCAGGCUACAAGGAAUCCUUUGUGUUCAAGUGCCAACCAGUUCAAUGUCACACAAUUUUGUGGACCCCGUCCUGAUGACAAUGUGGACUCUUUUGGAGGCACUUCUAACUCCACAAAUGUUUCUCGAGUCCAGGCAUGUCCAACUCAAAAUUUCUAUGAAUAUGUUCUGUCAUCACUUGUUCCAUGUUUCUGUGCUGCUCCUAUUAAACUUGGAUAUCGUUUAAAAAGCCCUAGCAUCUCUAUGCUUCUGCCAUACGUUUCAUGCUUUUAUAUUUGCUCAUGUUUGGCCUUGAUUUGGAUCUUGAUGUCAUGCUGGCAUCAAUUGCUGGUAUAGUUGUAGUUUCUUCUCUCAUUGAAGAAAGCAUACUAAAGAGUAUAGUAAAAUUAACAAAAAACAUCUGUGUAAGUACCCUUGUUUUUGUUCAUGUAUUUGCAUGUGUAAUUGGUUUUCUAGUGUUCAGGACUUAAAGCUACAUAAUUAGUUUGACUUGGAGAUGUUUCCUUCUUCCCUUUUUCAAUGCUAAAAAAUGAGUUGAUUGUAGAAGCAUUAGCUUUGGUUAUUCACAUGUAAGCUGAUUAGUGGGUCAAUGUCUAAUUUGAUUUAAGUUCAUAACUGGUCGUAAACAACAACGUUAUGAUGCUUGGGGUUGUUUACGGCAUUGGAUUUUUGUAUCAUAAAAAUGAGACCUUAGCUGACGAUGCCUCUUUUUUUACGUACUAAAGUUUUAUCCUUCUUUUUGAAUUUUUAGUGUUUUUUGAUAGAAGAACCUAACCCAAACCAUUUGUGAAACUUUUAAUCAGUUGAAUACCCAACUUUUCUGGGAACUCCUCACCCUUAAACCAAUCUUUUGUAUAGAAGACCCUACUUUUAUGGGAGAUUUGGUGAAGUUCGUUCUUUUAACCAGCCAAGUUUUACAUUCACCCAUCUAUUUAGGGAGUACAGUUCCUUUCUCCUGGUGAUAUACCAUUUGAUGUCAAGAACUUUUGUAAAAGAGGAACUUUUCAGUUUUGCUUAAAAACAUUUUUAAAGUGUUUUCUCACACAAUGAUGUGCCUUGCUUUAUUCUUAGUACCUUUCCAAGUGGAAGGUGGAAAUUUCAAAUUCUUGUUGUCCAUCAAUGGAAGAGGAAAAUCGAAAAAAUCCUGGAUAUGAGCAGUGAAGAAAAAUCCUAUGAAGUUGAGAAAGUCAAGACUAGGAAAUGCUAUUGACUCUGGCGAUUAAGCAUUUGCAAGGAUUUAGCAGGAAAAUAUAUUGAGGGAGAAGCCAAAAUGCUCUAUAAGAUCAUGGCAGGUAGUAAAAUGAGAGUUGAGAGAUGGGCUCGGAGCUUGUGUAGUCGUUCCUCUGAGUUAGUAAUCGAGAGUACCGGGUAGGCAUAAAGGUGAUUUAUGUCUAUUUCGCGAAGAUAAUGAUUUAUGAACUUUUGACUCGUUGAAAACCCGUAAGGUGAAGCGGGUUGGACACGUGACAAAGCUACACAUAACUACCAAAGUGGUGGAGCUUCGUAGUAGCCUUUGGGGUGGUGAGGUAUUCCCUCAAAGGUGAAGGUCGGCCCAAAAAAAAAAAAAAGAAAAGCACAAGAAAAAAAAUUGAAAGGCAAAAAGCUGAAUGCAAAAGAAAAAAAAUGAAGAAAAAACAAGAAAAAAACAAAAGGUGUCUGCCAAGAGAUGAAAGACAUGAAGGCUGAACUCGCAAGAAUUGAAUGCGACAAUCUUUCGUGGAUGUACGAUUUUGGGGUCAAUAUCUGCUCCUUGUUUUGAUUAUCUAAGAUGUCGAGGAUGGUUCCUUUCUGUUCAUAUUCUGGAAAUUGAAGGACAUUCCUUUUUAAGAUUCGACAACAUUGAUGCGAAAUAAAACCAAAUGCUUGUAUGGUACUAACGGUACAUGAAGGUUAUAUUAUUUUCAUAACACGAGCACUCAAGUUUAUGAGUUGAAUUGAUUAUUUUUGAACUAUUUCAAAAUUCAAUGUAAAAACUUGACGUCUCUUGUAUGUUUCCAGGAUUCCUAGGCAUAGCAAUAACUAACCAAUCCCCUUUAGUCUUGAAAAUGUUUGACCAUUUCGUUACCAAAUUGUUAGUCCUUCUGUGAAAUAGAUGAAACCCCUCAAACCUACUUCAACCAUGCUGAGCAUGAUGAAUUAUCCAUCUUUUCCUUUUGUCUUUGGUGGGACAAGUGAUUAAGCUGACUCUAGGUGAUAUUUUUCAAAAGUUCUAUCGAAGUUGCAUAGUGGUAUAUGUCCACCUAAUCUUGUUUUUGUGAGUUGUAUAAAUUUCAUCUGUUUGAUCUUUAUCCUUUGUUUCAUUCUAGCUGCUGUUAAAAUCUUUUAUGUAGUUAUAGCUCUUUAAUAAAAGGAUCAGUUGAGGCAUUCAGCCCUUUGGUUUGUGCCCCCUCCCUCUUUCCCCACCUUACUAAUUUCUCGCUCCACCCAUGUUCGUAUCCAUGCAUUUUUAUGUCAUCAAUCUAGGGCUUGAAUUUUUUUUAUUCCUCUAGCUUGGGUGGUCCCUUUAUUUUAAUUUACAUGUGACUGGACAUGAUCCUGAAUUGUCUUUUGGUUGUCUUUUAUUUCCAAGAGGCCUCUACAUGGUGGAGGCUUGAUUUCUCAUUUUGGAUUUGAGACUGACUACAUAAAUUUUAUAUGAGGUAAAUGGUUCCAGCUUGGCGUGUUUAGACAAUGCAGCUACAUCUCAAAAGCCAUAUGCUGUUUUGGAAGUUCUUCGUGAUUAUGUGAGGGCUACAGCUCAAAUGGUCACCACAAUAUUCAUUACUUAAGUGUAGUGGGCUAUGUCAAGAAUAUAAUCAGGGUCUCUAUCAGAUCUCAACAACCUGGAAUAGCGGCCACAUCCCUAACUAUGCCUUUUAUAAUCAGGCUGCAUGAACAUAAACCAUGAGAAGAGAAUUCGUUUUGUUGAUACUCUAGCCAUCUAGAAUCUGCAAUACAACAUCAGAUUGGGCAGACCUACAUGCAAGGGAAGCGCGUGCUUUAUUGGGAUGGCUGAGUACCAGAGGUAACUAUGCUGCUCCUCUCCAGGUGUUCCGUGGGAUUGAUAUACAGAGUUUGAUACCCAAGAUGACUAAAUCUAUAGCUGAUAAGGUCCAGCGUCAAAAAGCUCGAUUUAAAAGCCAGAAGGUGCAAAAAAAAUACAAUGUCUAUGCAUUCUGUGAGUCUCUUGCUUGAAGCUAUUUUACUUAAAGCAAGAUCACUGGAACAGCUUGGUUUAAGAAAAGUCAAGUUUUCUGAAAGCAGACAGAACUUGAUCAAGAACUUUGAACAUUCUCUUUCCUUGGUGGAUUGGAACUAUUAUCCAAUUACACAGUUUAUACAGCAGUAACAGCACUAUAACACCAAGGGAAUAAUGUUGGGACUGUCAUUGACAGGUAGACUUCAACUUCAACUGCUAAGGAGGCUUUUUUUCUUUUUUUGUGGCUUGCUUCUCUUUCCAUAUCUUUUCCUCUUUAUUGCAUUUUUUAUACUGACGCUUCAAAUAAAUGCUUUUUCUCCUUCUUUUCAUGUAAUUUUUUACGGUCUGGACAGUUUCAACUUUCUGAAAUGCUUAAGUUCGUCGACAUGAAUUCUGUGUUUGUUCACUUAUUCAGAAUAUUCGAUCUUGCUUUUUUUUUUUAUGACAUUUAACUACUUCUGUUGUAAAAGAGCGUUACUAUUGGAGUUAAAAGAACAAAAUUGAUUAUAUAUUUCCUAACUUCAAAAUUUCAUGUGGUAAUAAAUAUGUUGACAAUUCCUAUGAAUGCUUGUGAGCAUGUUUUUGUUCUCUCUCAGUUUUUGUUUUCUAUAAACUUCACAUGUUUGCUUUUUCUUUUUUCUUUUGGGUGAGUUGAUUUCAGAAUUCAAUGAAUGUGAACCAUAGAAGACUCACCUUCUGUUUGUGAUUUGACAGAGGCUGCCAAGGUGUGCAAUGCUAUCCUGGACAGUAAUUUGUGUGCUUGAUUUCUUGUUAAAUCUCACAGAACCAAGAAGAUUCCUCAACUUUGACAGGCCGUUGUUAUUAUGUCACAGACGUCACAGAAUAUGAAAAAACAGACUGUGAUACUGAAACUUGUGAUUCUCAAUGACAUGCGUGAUCUCCAUAUGCUGAUGAAGCACAAGUUGUGAUUCUUUAGCCCUUUGAAAGGCAAAAGAAUGAUGGUUUUACAGCUUUUUGGGCAAGAGGAUGAUAGUGGUUACAUGGUGGUUCUGUUGGUUUCGCUUUUCUUUUCCAUUAUUGUUUUUAAUGUUGUAGAAUCAUCCUAUUAAGUGUUUGGUGUGUGGUCACACCAUGAUGAAGACUAUUCUAGGAGGCGAAUUAUUAAAAAAUUACUUGCAAGCAGCGGGAAACUUGUAAAAGCACGUAGGCAGUAGUCAGGACAACAAAUGCCUGUGGGGACAAAUUACUGCCAAAAAGAAAUUAAAAUGUGUUCAUUUUGUUUUAAGAAGGAUUUCAAGUUCUUUUACCUUCAUACCUGUGUCACGUAUAUGGGUUCUCGGCAACAGACUUGUGUCCAGGAGCAAGAAUUUAGGAAAAAGCUGCCAUGAUUUUGCCACGGGAAGGGCUGCCCUGUUGUGAAAGAAGCCAUCUUUCACCAAGAAGGAAAAACUCCAGUCGAAGCGAGUUUGUCAAUAAGCUUUGAACCCUGUUAUCUCAUGCUUCUCAAACGAGCUUUGUGUAAGUAGUCUUUCAUGGUCUCAAAAGGUUCUAAAAAGGAAUGUUAUAUCUUGUAUGUAGGGGAGCAAUUUCGGUCGAUAUGGGAAUUAUUUGUCUCGUCUGAGUCUUCCCUGUUCUUGCUUUGCAAAUACCACUUAAAAUGAGCUGGAAUUUAUCAAAGUAAUAUGCCUUCUGAGUUCUGCUAGAAUCAUGGGCAUGCAAUUUAGCAGAGCUUUUGAGUUACAAAGGGACCACAGGAUCAAGAAUCAUGAUCAAAUGUGGAGCAUUGGAGGCAUGAUCUCAGAUGCUCUCCAACGCCAUCCUCAAUUCUGGAUUUUGUUCAAUAACUCAACGACGAGAACUACUGAGAACCAUAUAGUAGUAGCAGCAGCAGCAGUUGAUGUUGACGAUGAUGAUUAUUUUAUUAUUAUUGUCUGCAGUUUAUUCAAUCGUUCUUGCAGCCUAAUUGACUGGCUCUUGUACGCUAUAGACUAUGAAUUUCAGUUUCGCUUCAUUAGCUGAACUAUAGUUCCCCAUUUGCCAGUAAAUUACUCUUUACCUAUCUUUUCUGAUGGUUCUUGAAAUACAUACUUGCACAGGCUUAAAUUUAAACAGGCACAGGUUGCAAAACAGACAUCUUCUUUGACGUAGGAGAGAACGUGGGAUUUCUUUGCAUUAGAAUCUUCCCCACCAAGCUAAAGGGCAGCCUUCUAGAUUUAGUUAGAAACCUUGUGCGAAAGGGUGUGUAGCACUGCAUGACUAACUUUCGCCGGUUCAGUCCCUUUGCUGCUCUCGACCUCCUCUACUCGCAGAUCACAAACAUGUAAGUCAACGGCCUCAGCUGCUUGGUUCCAAUGGUUCUUACGUGCAUCACUGUGCAGAUUGCUUUAUCUUGCAAUAAUGUGAUACAUAAAACGCUUGAAUCUUCCAGCGAAACUGAUGAACAAAAUACAACCUAGUCGUUGUUCCCUAUAACUGAGGCAGGCUCUUAUCUAGACACUCAAGAAAUUACCUUUCAGCAUUAGCUUUCUCUCGAAAUUCAAAACUUAUUGCACUACCCUUGAACAAUCUCAAACACCACAAUUAACAGGUAUUUUCUGGAAAAGACCAUUAACAGGUGUCUUCAUGAAGCUGAAGAAAGUGCUCAGGUUAAAUGUUACCUGUAGAAGGUUAAACACUAGGGUUGUCUGGGUGCAAGUAACCAGGGCAUUCUCAUUCAGUUACAGCUCUGCAAUUUAAUUCAUCUAAAUCAGCAGAUAUUCAGAAAAGGUACAUAGGUUGAAGAAGCUGAUACCUCGACCUUGACAGAAAUAGCAUAGGUGCUAUGCCCCCAGCUUGUAUCUGAGGUACCAGUAAUCUUCAACAC
RNA transcript from Nymphaea colorata (pocket water lily), 7220 nucleotides. RefSeq lists it as uncharacterized. NCBI's taxonomy places the organism in Eukaryota, Viridiplantae, Streptophyta, Magnoliopsida, Nymphaeales, Nymphaeaceae. The transcript is spliced from 6 exons. The record is from RefSeq and is a predicted model, not a curated record.